Long non-coding RNA from Coturnix japonica (Japanese quail), 538 nucleotides. RefSeq lists it as uncharacterized. NCBI's taxonomy places the organism in Eukaryota, Metazoa, Chordata, Aves, Galliformes, Phasianidae. The record is from RefSeq and is a predicted model, not a curated record.
GGGGGGGGAGACACCCAUAGGCUGAGGGGAGGGCGAGCGGCGCUACGGCGCAUGCGCGGCUGCCUCCCCUACACCCCCCCCCCCCACCUCCUUUUCCUCUUCAGGUGAGCGCACGUUGUGUGGGAGUUGUGCGCAUGCGCGGUGUCCGGCGGGGUUCAGUCAGAUGAGCUGGGCAAGCUUCAUUCCGGCCCACGCCUCCUUCCUGAGGGCUCUGCUGAAGGUAGAAGGAUGGAUAGAGGUAAUGCUUCAACCCAGAGGAAGGCUGGAAGGGGCCGGAGCCAGGGAGAAAAACUGAAAGGGAACUCUUACCAAGGACACAUCAUCCAGAAUGAGGCCAAAAGUUGCUGCUCUCUCUGUGAGGUCUUCGCUCACUUGCCUGGAGACCAGUUCUCUUUGAGUGAUCAAUUCUCCAGCAUCAAAGCGAGCCUGAAGUCAGGAUGGACAACAGUGAGAAGAAAGCUCUCAGAUGCUCUACUUGUCACCCAACUUGAUGAAAAUAAAGCCAAGUAGUUAAAACGACAGAGAAGCAAUCAGCAUA